GGGCCCCUAGCUCAGCGGAAGAGCGCUGCGUUUGCAACGCAGAGGUCGGCGGUUCGAGCCCGCCGGGGUCCACCA
Molecule: transfer RNA, 75 nt
Filed under: Planctomycetota bacterium
Lineage: Bacteria; Pseudomonadati; Planctomycetota
Description: Planctomycetes bacterium (activated sludge metagenome) tRNA-Ala
Rfam family: tRNA
About the family: Transfer RNA (tRNA) molecules are approximately 80 nucleotides in length. Their secondary structure includes four short double-helical elements and three loops (D, anti-codon, and T loops).
Source: RNAcentral